AAGGCCCUAAAUAUUUGCUAAGUGAUAAAGGAUGUGACAUUACUUAUACAACCAGGAGGUUUGCUUAGAAGCAGCAACAUUCCUUUAAAAAGUGCGUAAUAGCUUACUGGUCAAGUGAUGUUGCGCCGAAAAUGAACGGGACUAAGUAAAUUGCCGAAGAUGUGGGAAUAAAAUUCAGUAGAAGAGCGUUCUGUUUUUGUUAGAAGUAAUAGCGUGAGCAGUUAUGGACUUAACAGAAGUGAGAAUGUCGGCUUAAGUAACGAAAACAUUGGUGGAAAUCCAAUGCCCCGUAAAUCUAAGGUUUCCUUCGCCAGGUUCGUCCACGAAGGGUUAGUCAGGACCUAAGACAAGAUUGAAAAAUGUAGUCGAUGGGUAACAGUUUAAUAUUACUGUACUAAAUUUUGUUUGCUAUGAGUAACGAAAAAGGCUAAAUUGGUCAAACUUUGGAAGUUUUGAUUUAAUGUAUGAAGACGUUGAAGGACAGUUAAAAUGUCAUGAGUUAACAGCAGAAUACGAAAAGUAUUACGAUACUUUAAGCAAUUGAUGUCAUAUUUCCUAGAAAAACUCUGAAAGCUUAUAACAAAAUUUACCUGUACCGUAAACUGACACAGGUGGAUUAGUAGAGAAUACUAAGGGGCGCGAGAUAACUGUUUCUAAGGAACUCGGCAAAAUAACUCCGUAACUUUGGAAGAAGGAGUGCCUCUCUUAAAAAGAGGUCGCAGUGAAAUGGCCCAAGCGACUGUUUACCAAAAACACAGGUCUCCGCUAAGUUGAAAAACUAUGUAUGGGGGCUGACACCUGCCCAGUAUUGGACGGUUAAAGAAGUUGGUUAGCGUAAGCAAAGCUGAUAACUGAAGCCCCAAUGAACGGCGGCCGUAACUAUAACGGUCCUAAGGUAGCGAAAUUCCUUGUCGGGUAAGUUCCGACCUGCACGAAAGGUGUAACGAUUUGGGCGCUGUCUCGGAAACAGACUCGGUGAAAUAGAAUUGACUGUGAAGAUGCGGUCUACUUGCACUUGGACAGAAAGACCCUAUGAAGCUUUACUGUAGUCUGAGAUUGAUUUCUGGCUUUUUUUGCGCAGAAUAGGUGGGAAGCUAUGAUUCUUUCUUUCGGGAUUUGAGGAGCUAAAAAAUGAGAUACCACUCUUAAAAAGUUGGAAGUCUAAUAAGAAAUUUACUGUUUCUUUGACAGUUUCAGAUGGGCAGUUUUACUGGGGCGGUAGCCUCCUAAAAGGUAACGGAGGCGCACAAAGGUUUUCUCAGUCUGGACGGAAAUUAGAUUUGGAGUGUAAAGAUAUAAGAAAGCUUGACUGUAAGACUUAUAAGUCGAACAGAGACGAAAGUCGGUCUUAGUGACCCGACGGUACUGAGUGGAAAGGCCGUCGUUCAACAGAUAAAAGUUACUCUAGGGAUAACAGGCUGAUCUCCCCCAAGAGUUCAUAUCGACGGGGAGGUUUGGCACCUCGAUGUCGGCUCAUCGCAGCCUGGGGCGGUAGUACGUCCCAAGGGUUGGGCUGUUCGCCCAUUAAAGCGGUACGUGAGCUGGGUUCAGAACGUCGAGAGACAGUUCGGUCCAUAUCCGGUGUGAGCGCUAGAGCAUUGAGAGGACUUUUCCUUAGUACGAGAGGACCGGGAAGAAUACACCUCUGGUGUACCAGUUUUUGUGCCAACAGAAGUCGCUGGGUAGCCAUGUGUAGAGUGGAUA
This 1704-nucleotide ribosomal RNA is filed under the name Euglena adhaerens. Its description in RNAcentral is "bacterial LSU rRNA". It matches the Rfam family "Bacterial large subunit ribosomal RNA", at positions 1041 to 2766 of the family's 2925-position model. The record is from RNAcentral. Lineage: Eukaryota; Euglenozoa; Euglenophyceae; Euglenales; Euglenaceae.